RNAcentral lists this long non-coding RNA (477 nucleotides) under Homo sapiens (human). RNAcentral describes it as "non-protein coding lnc-UBA1-1:1". The record is from RNAcentral. Lineage: Eukaryota; Metazoa; Chordata; Mammalia; Primates; Hominidae.
CCUUAGCAACCUGAUGAAUUCUAAAAAUGGUGCUGUGCUGGGGGGAACAUGGAAAUAUAGAAUGUGGCAUUGUGUCAUGCAUAUAAAGUUAUACACAAAUAAACAUUCCUAUGCAUUUUUAAAUGAUAAAAUGGAAAUGCACAACAAAUGUGACAGCGUGGGUGUAUGUCAGGGGAAGAGGAGUGUCUUCAUCCAUUUGCUGCUCCAUAACAAUACCACAGACUGGGUAAUUUAUAAGGGGAGAAUCACUUGAACCCAGGAGGCGGAGGUUGCAGUGAGCUGAGAUCGUGCCAUUGCACUCCAGCCUGGGCAACAAGAACGAGACUCCUUCUCAAAAUAUAUAUAUAUUAUAUAUAUAUAAAGGUGGAGGAGAUGGGAGGGGGUGAAGGAUGAAAAAUUACUUAAUGGGUAUGAUGUACAUUAUUUGGCUGAUGGAUGCUCUAAGAACCCUGACUUCAGCACUAUACAAUCUGUGCA